GCUACCAUGCAGUCGAACGAUGAUGGAGAGCUUGCUCUUCGGAUUAGUGGCGAACGGGUGAGUAACACGUGAGCAAUCUGCCCUUGACUCUGGGAUAAGCGUUGGAAACGACGUCUAAUACCGGAUACGACCCUUGGAGGCAUCUCCGGGGGUGGAAAGAAUUUUGGUCAGGGAUGAGCUCGCGGCCUAUCAGCUAGUUGGUGAGGUAAUGGCUCACCAAGGCGACGACGGGUAGCCGGCCUGAGAGGGUGACCGGCCACACUGGGACUGAGACACGGCCCAGACUCCUACGGGAGGCAGCAGUGGGGAAUAUUGCACAAUGGGCGAAAGCCUGAUGCAGCAACGCCGCGUGAGGGACGACGGCCUUCGGGUUGUAAACCUCUUUUAGUAGGGAAGAAGCGAAAGUGACGGUACCUGCAGAAAAAGCACCGGCUAACUACGUGCCAGCAGCCGCGGUAAUACGUAGGGUGCAAGCGUUGUCCGGAAUUAUUGGGCGUAAAGAGCUCGUAGGCGGUUUGUCGCGUCUGCUGUGAAAACCCGAGGCUCAACCUCGGGCCUGCAGUGGGUACGGGCAGACUAGAGUGCGGUAGGGGAGAUUGGAAUUCCUGGUGUAGCGGUGGAAUGCGCAGAUAUCAGGAGGAACACCAAUGGCGAAGGCAGAUCUCUGGGCCGUAACUGACGCUGAGGAGCGAAAGCAUGGGGAGCGAACAGGAUUAGAUACCCUGGUAGUCCAUGCCGUAAACGUUGGGAACUAGAUGUGGGGACCAUUCCACGGUCUCCGUGUCGCAGCUAACGCAUUAAGUUCCCCGCCUGGGGAGUACGGCCGCAGGUAACC
This 835-nucleotide ribosomal RNA is filed under the name Leifsonia sp. RNAcentral's name for it is "bacterial SSU rRNA". It matches the Rfam family "Bacterial small subunit ribosomal RNA", at positions 48 to 901 of the family's 1533-position model. Lineage: Bacteria; Bacillati; Actinomycetota; Actinomycetes; Micrococcales; Microbacteriaceae. The record is from RNAcentral.